Clupea harengus (Atlantic herring) is the source of this 190-nucleotide long non-coding RNA. RefSeq lists it as uncharacterized. The record is from RefSeq and is a predicted model, not a curated record. The transcript is spliced from 2 exons. NCBI's taxonomy places the organism in Eukaryota, Metazoa, Chordata, Actinopteri, Clupeiformes, Clupeidae.
CAUACUAUAGUUGUCAUGGUAGAAUUGUUAGUUGUGUUUUUAUGGUAGAAUUGUUAGAUGUGUGUUUUGUGUGCACAUGAAGAGUCUGGGGAGUUUAGUUGUUGGGUUGGGCUCUGUAUCGUGACUUUCACUACUGGACUAAAUGUCAUCAUAUGAUUUGUGCUCAAUAAAAAUGAUUUACUAUUUUACU